AUUUGAAUGAACGGUAAUAGAAUGAAUAAACACACUAAACUACUCUAAACUAUACAAAAUACGCCAUCUAGUGGUGAACUAUCACACACACACACAUACACACACAUACUAGCCUACUACCUAGUACAGUCAAUAAAUUAGUACAAAGGAGUGUGUUCAGGCCUCAGUGGAGCAUAUCCAGGCGCACUAGCCUGUUUCCUGAGCUCAUGGCGUAUUACAUACAAGGUAAAAUGGGGAAUCUGUGGGCUAGCACAGGUCUGUAUGAUGAUACCAAAUAUUCAUUCAUCGAUCCGGAUUACCACAUAAACAUAGAGGAUUAUUUUCAACAUGUUAACGUCAUUGAACAGGUUGGAAAGAAGCAGGAACGAAAGUGUCGAGUUGAAGGUGGUCAUCAUGGAUUCACUGAGUAUAACCCCUAUCCCCAGCAAACCGAAGUGCUGACUGAUCUCAGCAUCCCCAC
Molecule: long non-coding RNA, 460 nt
Organism: Ictalurus punctatus (channel catfish)
Lineage: Eukaryota; Metazoa; Chordata; Actinopteri; Siluriformes; Ictaluridae
Source: Ensembl